This 283-nucleotide ribosomal RNA is filed under the name Clostridioides difficile. Its description in RNAcentral is "partial 23S ribosomal RNA". It matches the Rfam family "Bacterial large subunit ribosomal RNA", at positions 2196 to 2477 of the family's 2925-position model. Lineage: Bacteria; Bacillati; Bacillota; Clostridia; Peptostreptococcales; Peptostreptococcaceae. The record is from RNAcentral.
GAUACCACCCUUGUAGUACUGGGACUCUAACCAUAGGCCAUGAAUCUGGUCUUGGGACACUGUCAGGUGGGCAGUUUGACUGGGGCGGUCGCCUCCCAAAAGGUAACGGAGGCGCUCAAAGGUUCUCUCAGUACGGUCGGAAAUCGUACGUAGAGGGUAAAGGCAAAAGAGAGCUUGAUUGCAAGACAUACAGGUCGAGCAAGGAUGAAAAUCGGACUUAGUGAUCCGGUGGUUCUGCGUGGAAGGGCCAUCGCUCAACGGAUAAAAGCUACCCUGGGGAUAA